RNAcentral lists this transfer RNA (57 nucleotides) under Ovis aries (sheep). It matches the Rfam family "tRNA", at positions 8 to 63 of the family's 71-position model. Rfam says of the family: Transfer RNA (tRNA) molecules are approximately 80 nucleotides in length. The record is from Rfam by way of RNAcentral. Lineage: Eukaryota; Metazoa; Chordata; Mammalia; Artiodactyla; Bovidae.
UGGCUCAGAGGUUAAAGCGACCGCCUGCAAUGCGGGAGACCCGGGUUCAAUCCCUGG